UACGUAGGGGGCGAGCGUUGUCCGGAUUUACUGGGCGUAAAGCGCGUGUAGGCGGCCGGAUAAGUCGGGUGUGAAAGCCCGGGGCUCAACCCCGGGAUGCCGCUCGAAACUGCUCGGCUUGAGGACGGAAGAGGGGAGUGGAAUUCCUGGUGUAGCGGUGAAAUGCGUAGAGAUCAGGAGGAACACCCGUGGCGAAGGCGGCUCCCUGGUCCGUCCCUGACGCUGAGACGCGAAAGCGUGGGGAG
This 245-nucleotide ribosomal RNA is filed under the name uncultured bacterium. RNAcentral's name for it is "partial 16S ribosomal RNA". It matches the Rfam family "Bacterial small subunit ribosomal RNA", at positions 524 to 768 of the family's 1533-position model. The record is from RNAcentral.